Molecule: RNA transcript, 5426 nt
Organism: Diceros bicornis minor
Lineage: Eukaryota; Metazoa; Chordata; Mammalia; Perissodactyla; Rhinocerotidae
Gene: SPRED2
Gene name: sprouty related EVH1 domain containing 2
Exons: 7
Source: RefSeq, a predicted model, not a curated record
CAAUAUGGAGUAAAUCGGUGGAGUCGAGAGAUGGGGCUCGGACGGGGCGCCCUGCACCGCCUCCCAGGCGCACCUCCCCCAGCCGCCGACCGCUCCCCGGAACCGUGAUUGGCCCGGCCCCCCGGGGCGACCCCGCACCGAGCCCCCACCCGCGGCCGGCCCUCUCCUCCUCCUCCUCUCAGCAGUCCCCGUCGCCCCACGGCGCGCUUGUUUUUCUCCUCCUCUCCCCAGCGCCGUCCCCUGCCCAAAUCUCUCCCCCUCCGCCCGCUCCCGAAGCCCCCGAACCCCGCCCGCCUCGCCCCUCGGCGCUGCGACGCUCACUCCCCCCGCAGCUUGCCUUUGCACCCCUUUCCCCAAACCUCACCCCGCGCUCCGGUCGCCCUGCUUCCCCUUCUGCCUUCUGCGGCGCCCCCUUCAUCUGUAGCCGCCCCCCCCCAACCAAAUCAGGCGAUCUCCGGAGAUGUGAAGAAGGAGGGUGAGCGGACAGGAAGAUGAAGGGAGCAAAGCUGCCCGCCGCGGGACAGGCGUCUAGGUGAACAGGAAAAUGACCGAAGAAACACACCCGGACGAUGACAGCUAUAUUGUGCGUGUCAAGGCUGUGGUUAUGACCAGAGAUGACUCCAGCGGGGGAUGGUUCCCACAGGAAGGAGGCGGGAUCAGUCGCGUGGGGGUCUGUAAGGUCAUGCACCCCGAAGGCAAUGGACGAAGCGGCUUUCUCAUCCAUGGUGAACGACAGAAAGACAAACUGGUGGUAUUGGAAUGCUAUGUACGAAAGGACUUGGUCUACACCAAAGCCAACCCAACCUUUCAUCAUUGGAAGGUCGACAAUAGGAAGUUUGGACUUACUUUCCAAAGCCCUGCUGACGCGCGAGCCUUUGACAGGGGAGUGAGGAAAGCAAUCGAAGACCUUAUAGAAGGCUCAACAACAUCAUCUUCCACCAUCCAUAAUGAAGCUGAGGUUGGUGAUGAUGACGUUUUUACGACAGCUACAGACAGUUCUUCUAAUUCCUCUCAGAAGAGGGAACAACCUCCUCGGACAAUCUCCUCUCCCACAUCCUGUGAGCACCGGAGGGUUUAUACCCUGGGCCACCUCCACGACCCAUACCCCACGGACCACUAUCCCCUCGAACAGCCGAUGCCGAGGCCCUACCGCCAGGUGAGCUUCCCGGACGACGACGAGGAGAUCGUGCGCAUCAACCCCAGGGAGAAGAUCUGGAUGACGGGCUAUGAGGAUUACCGGCACGCGCCCGUGCGGGCCAAGUACCUGGACACCUCGGAGGACGCGGACUCCUACGUGCGCUUCGCCAAGGGCGAGGUCCCCAAGCACGACUACAACUACCCCUACGUGGACUCCUCAGACUUUGGCCUCGGCGAGGACCCCAAAGGGCGCGGGGGUGGCGUGAUCAAGACACAGCCGUCCCGGGGCAAGUCCCGGCGGCGGAAGGAGGACGGCGAGCGCUCCCGGUGCGAGUACUGCAGGGACAUGUUCAACCACGAGGACAACCGGAGGGGCCACUGUCAGGACGCGCCCGACUCCGUGAGAACUUGCAUCCGCCGGGUGAGCUGUAUGUGGUGUGCAGACAGCAUGCUCUACCACUGUAUGUCGGACCCCGAGGGAGACUAUACAGACCCGUGCUCGUGCGAUACUAGCGACGAGAAGUUUUGCCUCCGGUGGAUGGCUCUUAUUGCCUUGUCUUUCUUGGCCCCUUGCAUGUGCUGUUACCUGCCCCUUCGGGCCUGCUACCACUGCGGAGUGAUGUGCAGGUGCUGCGGAGGGAAGCACAAAGCAGCCGUGUGACUCCGGGCCCUUCCCCCCGCCCCCCAUCCACAGCCACAAGGGACCUUGUCUUCGCCACACUAUCAUCUUCUCCCCUGCUCCCUGGUGCCACCAUUGCAGCCUGGGGAACCUACCCGCUGGACUCUGCACUCCCCUCCGCCACCCACUCUGCGUCAGCGACACACCCCUACACGCAGCACACAGUGUUCUAAGGAAAGGAACCUCCACGCAGACCUUCGUGUGUUAUUAACAAUCUGUAAUCAAGCUGUCUUCUCCACAUUGAUUUUCCUGUCUUUCCUCCCCACCUCUUCCAGUUCAAAGGCACCUGUAGUCGGAACUCCUGAUUUUUGAGGGUUGUUGUAGUUGGUGUUUUCCAAGAGCAUGGAAGACUCUCUUUCUCUUGGUUCGGCUUGCCUGUUGGUCCUGAGCAUUGUCGGGUUCCUGUGGAAAUGUGAUGUCAGAAGGAUGAAACCCACCAGAAGUAUUUUAACCUGCAGUCAGUUAUUAUGUAUAGGAGGGGAGACAGACGGCAGCUCCUCUGGCUCGGAUGCCUCAAGUGAAAGGAAUGCUGCAUGUCACCGCCCAGGGAACACCGCCUCUUCCUAGGCCUAGCUUCCCCCACGCGUGCUCCUCAGAGGGAACAGCUGUGCUUCCUCCAAGUUGUUUUCCACCGAUUCCUGCUGAACCUCAGGUGGGUGUGUGUGUGGAGUUUGGAAGACAGUUUCUCACAGAAAACAACUGUUAAAACUGCAAGACCCUUGGUCUCCUCAGAGUGGUUCUAUUUCACCAACACUUGGCCCACUUUCCCUUCCAAAUGGGCUCUUUGGAUGCUCAAAAGUUACAGUGACAAUCCCUUGGAGGAAAUAAAGUGUGGGGUCUUUUAAAGGUCACAGAGGAAAGUUUCAGCUCUUUCUCUAGAGAACUGAGUUUGGGGCCUUAAAAAGAGAUGUGUAGAGGGGCCCCUCCAUCUUAGUUUUAACUGUUCCCUAAAGCAGUGACUUUUCCAAGGCACUGGCAAAGGUGAAAAUCAACAGGAGAUGCUGGAAAUUGGAAAGUGAGAGGAGAGAAGCCAUAAGGAUUGGUAAUUAAGAGAUUAUUAGAGAACUUAAUGAAAGUUGCUUCGUUAGAGUCGGAGGGGCGUAAACCAGAUUAUAGUGGGGUGAAGAGUCAAGAUGGAGGAAGUAAAAACGUCAAAUGGAAAACAUGUUUUCAAGAAGUUUGAUGCUAGAGGAAUAAUGGGAUUGCUCUGAAGUAGAACUGAGAAAUUAAGUUAAUAUCUGCCAAGAUAAUAUGUAUGCAUUUACUUGUUCUUAUGACAGUUAAUCCUGAAUAAACUGUUCUCAUAAAAACAGAAGGGAGAAGAGAACUUGGAAGGUGCCUCUAAGAGCUGCAGCAGGAAAGAAGUGCUGAGAUCUUCCUUGACCCUUGUGCCCCCCUGCAUGUCCCUCCCGUUAUCCCUGUUUACAGUUGAGGAACUGAGGCUUAGAAAACGUAAGUAAGGUAAGCUGCAGUCACAUGAAGCGAGAGCUGAACCCGGCCUGAGCCCGGGUCCUUUCCUGGCCUCGCUCUGAUUCCUCUGCUCACCCUCCUCCCUGUUUGUGGGCUUGAAAAGUGGACACCGGUCAAGAGCCUUGCCCAGUCCUCCCUGUUCUCUCAGGCCCAUCAGGCUGCUUCAGGAUUAGCCUGUCCUCUUUCAUGCCUGGCGUGCUCAGCCAGGAGCUGGACGCACUACGUGCGUCACCUUUAACUCCCUGUGAAGUAGAGUGUUCAUGUCCACCUCACAGGUGAGGAAGCAGGCGUAGAGAAACUACACUCGCCCUUUCAGGGUCGCUGGACAGUCUGCCAUUACUAGCCAUUAGCCCUUGGGCAAGUGACUUCGCCUUUGUGAGCCUAGGUUUCCUCAGGUAUAACAAGUGGAGUAAUACCGUCAGCACUUCAAGAAGGUUCAAUGAUACGCUGUAGUUACAGUGUAGUACACGGGAGGUGCUUCCAACUGCUAGUUCUUUCCUCAGUUCCUCCUUUAUCCUGGGACCCUGAGGAAACAUCAGAAACUAGAGAGGACGGUCUCUUUUGAAGCACACGUGGCUGAAGCGAUGAUGCAUAUUUGGGGAAUAUUUAGACUUACGACAUAGAUGUUGAGAUUUCUUUUUCUUAAUCUCUCUGCAAUUCUAAAGUAGGUUUUGAUUCCUUGCCUGCCUUCGCGGAUAUGUUCGUGGCCCAUAGCUGCAGAAGUGCACUAGGCUGGCCGGAUUCCUCGGGAGCCAGUGCAUGCAACUUGGAGAAAGUUGGUGGCUUCUGUCAGAGCAGUUCCGCCAAGAGGGCUGGACCCGGCUCAGCGUACUUGACCAGGGUUGGAGCACAUUGUCUUGCCGAGUUCUGCCUUCCUGAACCUUCCAGCCCCUCUUUUGUGGCGUUUAGGUCGCCCCCUACAAGUCAGUGCCCUCAUCUCCUGGGUCUCUGCGCCUCCCUGCUGCUGUCCCCACUGCUGGUUACCACCCCACCCCCACAAUGGUGGGCACCCCCCAGAAAACCAGGACAUCGUCCCAGAGGAAAAAGUGUUGUUGGAAGAAUUCUGUUUUACAAGCACUCCCAGGGUGGUUUGUUAUUUUAACGGCUUUCGAGCAGGCAGUCACAGGGCCGGCCAUGUGAACGAGGGACCAGCGCUUGUAAAAGUGUGCCAGCUGCUUGCAGAACUCCUUAUUGCAGCCCUGGUGGACUUGCUGAUUUGUGGAGUGAGAUGGUUGGAAAUAUCACACUUUGUUUGUUUGUUUAGGCCUAAACCAGAUGGGUGGACUGAAGGGAGAUGACCCUGGUGACAUUUUGCACAACCAGAUACCAGUUGUGACCUAGCAAAUCGGGGCCCACCUGUCUCCUCAGCUAGAGCAGCCACCGGUGCUAGUGGUUCCCUCAAGGCAAGCUGACCACCUAAAGGGCAGUGUGGAGUGGGGCCAGGGUGGGGCGAUUAGGAGGAGGUAGGCUCUGUAUAUUUAUGAAGGAGGAAUAAAACCAACUAUGUGAUAGUCAUGCCUGGUAUCCUUUUCUUCUCAUUAUGUCUCUUCUCUCAUUUUUUUUUUCAAAAAUUGGUCGGAGGGCCUCUGAUUAUAGAAGUAACACACAGAGUCAUUGUAAAAAUGUCAUACACUACAAAAAUAUGAAAAUGAGUCUCCUUGUAUUAGUUUGCUAGGGCUGCCGUAACAAAGUACACAGACUAAGUGGCUUACACAACGGAAAUUGAUUGUCUCAGUUCUGGAGGCUGGAAGUCCAAAAUCAAGGUGUGGGUUGGUCUGUGAGGGAAGGAUCUGUUCCAAGCCUGUCUCCUUGGCUUGGAAAUGGCUACCUUCUCCCUAUGUCUGUUCACAUUAUCUUCCUUCCAUAUGUGUCUCUGUGUCCAAAUUUCCUCUUUUUAUAAGGCUAUCAGUCAUGUUGGAUUAAGGCCCACCCUAAUGACCUAACUUUAACUUAAUUACCUCUGUAAAGACCCUAUCACCAAAUAAGGUCCCAUUCUGAGGUACUAGAGGUUAGGACACCAUAUGAAUUUAGGGGAGACACAAUUCAACCCAUAACACUCCUCUAUCCUACCGAAAGUAAGCGCUGUGUGUCCUUUUGGACCUUUCUAUGCAUAUGUACGCAGAUGUGUGUAUGUGUGUAU